CGACCUGCGGGUUGAAACCAGCUAACUGGGCUGCCCUGCGCUCAGCGCUGGGAGGCCGGGUGGAGGAAUCUAGGGUGCAGCGCGAGGAGUGAGGCUCCUCCCGGAUACCUUGACACAACACGGUGUCGCUCCGGUGAAGAGUUGCCCGUGUCUGUGCAGGAACGAGAACGCCAAGGGAGACGACACCCAGAACAGGCGGCUGCACCCAGGGAUGCGAAGCGGGAUGCGGAGCUUGCCUUUGAAAUCGGAUGCAUUCCACUUCCUGCUUGUCCGCUGCGAUCCUGCAAUCCUUCUUUUGCUUCUCUUCUUCUUUCUUGUCCCUUCCCAAUGUCUACCUUAUAGGAUAAUCGUCAGGAUUGCGUGAGAAAACGCACCGAACAAGCCCUGCCGUGAUGACGGAGACGACUAAGAUGCGCCUACGAGUCAUUUUCAAUCUAUUUGGAGACAAGAACUUUGCAGAACGUGGUAAAUAAAGGCUUCCACCGAGACACAAGAAACUCCUAUAUAUCCUAGCUCCUCCCUGACCUCUUUGAAACAGACCCUGAGAGCCAUCUGAGAGGCUGUAUCCCAGGCUUAAGCCCUCAGUC
Long non-coding RNA from Balaenoptera ricei (Rice's whale), 587 nucleotides. RefSeq lists it as uncharacterized. The record is from RefSeq and is a predicted model, not a curated record. NCBI's taxonomy places the organism in Eukaryota, Metazoa, Chordata, Mammalia, Artiodactyla, Balaenopteridae. The transcript is spliced from 3 exons.